UACGUAGGUGGCGAGCGUUGUCCGGAUUUGCUGGGCGUAAAGGGAGCGUAGGCGGACUUUUAAGUGAGAUGUGAAAUACCCGAGCUCAACUUGGGUGCUGCAUUUCAAACUGGAAGUCUAGAGUGCAGGAGAGGAGAAUGGAAUUCCUAGUGUAGCGGUGAAAUGCGUAGAGAUUAGGAAGAACACCAGUGGCGAAGGCGAUUCUCUGGACUGUAACUGACGCUGAGGCUCGAAAGCGUGGGGAGCAAACAGGAUUAGA
This 259-nucleotide ribosomal RNA is filed under the name uncultured prokaryote. Its description in RNAcentral is "partial 16S ribosomal RNA". It matches the Rfam family "Bacterial small subunit ribosomal RNA", at positions 524 to 782 of the family's 1533-position model. The record is from RNAcentral.